RNAcentral lists this ribosomal RNA (393 nucleotides) under uncultured bacterium. Its description in RNAcentral is "partial 16S ribosomal RNA". It matches the Rfam family "Bacterial small subunit ribosomal RNA", at positions 523 to 918 of the family's 1533-position model. The record is from RNAcentral.
AUACGUAGGGGGCAAGCGUUAUCCGGAUUUAUUGGGUUUAAAGGGUGCGUAGGCGGUUUGCUAAGCGGGAGGUGAAAUGCCGGCGCUCAACGUCGGAAGUGCCUCCCGAACUGGUGGACUGGAAUGACUCUGCCGUGGGAGGAAUGUGUAGUGUAGCGGUGAAAUGCUUAGAGAUUACACAGAACACCGAUUGCGAAGGCAUCUCACGAAGGGUUGAUUGACGCUGAGGCACGAAAGCGUGGGGAUCAAACAGGAUUAGAUACCCUGGUAGUCCACGCAGUAAACGAUGAUGGCUAACCGCUGGUUUAUUCGGAUCAGUGGCCAAGCGAAAGCGAUAAGCCAUCCACCUGGGGAGUACGACCGCAAGGUUGAAACUCAAAUGAAUUGGCGGGG